This is a long non-coding RNA of Pseudopipra pipra, 14834 nucleotides long. RefSeq lists it as uncharacterized. The record is from RefSeq and is a predicted model, not a curated record. NCBI's taxonomy places the organism in Eukaryota, Metazoa, Chordata, Aves, Passeriformes, Pipridae. The transcript has 4 exons.
AAGUAACAAUCUCUUUCAUCAUUUACUGUGCUUUUUUUACAACGUAAUUGGUUUGAACCAAAAUAAAGACUGUAUGUUGGAGCCUUUUUAAAUUCAUUGAUUGAAGUGCUGCCUUUUCAUGCUUCAUUUUCCCCCCCGGAUUACAAGAUUAGGAUUUGUUUGAGAAGCAAAUAUGGCAUUUUUUUGUUAGACUUGAUGAAAUCAUUGUCUGCAACUGCCAAGACAAAAAUGACUUGAAGACAGAUCAUCUUGUUAUAGGAAGCUUGCUUCAGCAGUCUGGAACUUACAACCAAUUUAGUUAUGUCAAGGCAUUAAACCACCUUUUCAGUCAAGACAAGGUCACUACUUUUCAAGGGGUCUAUGAAUGCUGCAGUCCUUUUGGUGGAAUGUCACCAGACGCUGUGCUGCAGGAGCACACUCACUGAGCUCUGGCUGCUCCUGGGCUUCUGGGUCCUUGAGCCACAGCAGCCCAAAGCACCCCUGACACAAAAAGGGAGCUCCUCAGCAACCUCUCUACAGUCCUGGUGCAGUGCUGUGCUGCUUGCUGGUGCAGAUGGAGCAGAGCUCGUGCCAUACAUGACAGGUGGUUUGACUGGCUGCAAGUCAAGUGGAUAUGCUGUACCAACAGACACUCACCUGCAGCUUGUGAACAGACCCACCUGAAAUACUGGACCAGACUCUGCCAACAGCCAUAGGUGUUAGGCCUGUGCUUAUCCACUGAUGAGGUGUGGAAGAUGGGAAAGGUCAAAAUACUACUAUUGGACUGCUGGGCCUCCAAGUUAUGACUCUUCUCUUGGGCCAGUCUUGGUGUAACAAAACUUCCUAUGAACUAUGGUGAGGGAUAGUGCUGAGUGCUCCAUUUGUCCUCCUCUGCUGCCAGUAAAGGAACACAAAAGAAAUAUUAUGUGCUUUCAGGUAAGUGGAAGAGAUAGAUUAGGGAAAAAAAGGAGAAAAGGAAAUGUACCUUUCAGUUACCGGGACUUUUUAAAGAAAGGGAAUGGAAAAUAAACUUCCCUCACUGUAAUGCCCUCUCACAUCUCUUCUCAAAUUUUUGACUUCUGAAUCAUUUAUGAAUUUUAUUUUUUUUUCCUUCUCUUUUCUUUCCUUUUUUUCUUUCUUUUUUUCUGUGCAGCAUGUGGUCUUCACUGGAGAAAUUAGUCUCAUCUAUCUUCAAAAGCUGAACUUAUCUGAACACUGUCCAUUCAAUCCAACAGAUACACUGCGUUAUUAAAUUACUUAAAGACACUGACAAAGCCCAUAACUAUGAAUCUUAAUCUUAAGGAGCUCAGUUCUAAUUUGUACAAUGGCUUCCACUAGAUUAGCACAGAGAAAUGAUAAAGUGAAAUGCUGCCUCUGUGUGCAAGCUAGACAGUGCACAGCAAAGCCCAAAAUCAAUAAAAGUUGCAGAAAGUCUGCUGAGCUCCUUUAGGCAUUUACUCAUGAGUGAAGGCAUUUUUAUCAUCAAGUUAACUGGGUUCCAGAGCAGGCUUUAUUUUAUAUGGGAUUUUCCCUUUAAAGGAAGAGUUAUUGUAUUGUGGAAACAAUAGUUUCCUUCUUCUUCUUAGCAGAAAAAAGUCAUCACACAUUUCUAAAUAUAAUAAUAAAUUCUUGUGAUAUGUUUUGAACCUUCCUAAGAGAAGAUCCAUGAAUGGAGAAAGAGAAUACAUGGUUUUCAGCUUGCGGUUAGCCAGAAAACACCUCUACCUGAAUGAGAAUUUCAAGACUUCUUUGUCAUUAGGGCAUUCAAACAUGGUAUUCUGUAGUGACUGAAAGCUUGAAAUGUCAUUGUAAAUUUUUAGUUUUUUUCCCUUAUAUCCAGAUGGAUCCUUCCCUGUUUCUGUUUGUGACUACUGUCUGUUCUUCCACGUUCCCUCAUUAAAAGACCUGGCUCUGUCUCAGUUAUCUUCCCUUAACUAUUGGAAGAUUGCUAUUAGGUUUCCCCCAGGACUUUCUAUCUCCAGACAAGAGAGUCACAGGGGUGAAAUGCAUUUGCAUUUGAGGCAUAAUGCACAUUUUUUUGUCUGUUUGUUUUAUUGGCAUCCUUACAAAAAGAUAUCAGUGAAAGCAAAGUGUCAUUUUUCUGAAAUAAAGUGCCAAACUGGAAAGUCAAAGCAGCAUUACUCAAAAAAAAAAAAAAAAUCAAUCCAUUUCUUUAUAUAAACAUAUUCCAGGGAACAACAUGAUAAGCAAUGCUAAACUGAGGCUUAAACAUGCAGAUACCUAGUCUUAAGUAAAAAUUAUGGCUUUUUAAAGUAACAGUAAUCUUAUUCUUUUCACAUCUGCAUGCAGAAUACUACCUAAAACAUAAGUCAAACAUGACUAAAUUCAAAUUAAUCUGAAGAGGGAAUUUGCCUUUUCUGUUACAGGUUUCACAAUGAAGGCACUUGCUUUCAUAGUGACUAUACCUGAUAGUCAGUUAAUGUGUGCAGGACACCCUCUGAGUCAUCAGCUGGUGUUCCUUUGUACUCAUUUUAGAUGUACAGCUUUUUCUUAUCUCUUCACUACCCAAAGAAGACACAAAAUCUUCAGAGAAGGCUCUCUGUUAAACUGUCUUUAUCUCAAUUAAUGAGUUUUCUCUUUUUUGCUCUUCUGAUUCUCUCAUCCAACCCACAGCAGAGAUGGGGGUUGAGCUCCUGACUGGGGUUAAACCACAACAGCAAGUAAAGCCACCAUUUCUUUAUGCCUCUCUCUUGUUAUGUAAAGCAUAAGGAGCUGAAGAUGACUCAGUUAGACCUAUAUAGUUAAGGUCUAAAUGAGAUUAAUCAUGUAUUUUAGAUUUCAGAAGAUCAAAUCAGGCAGAUAUUUACCUUAUGCAGUUCUAGUUCAGAUCUACAGGCUUAAUUAUUACAGCUCCUACGCAGGAAAGAAGAUCUGUCCUUCUGAAGAAAGUACAAUAUGGGAUGCUUAGAAAAAUAACCAGCAUGUGUAUGUAACUUCUGUGCUCCUCUCUUUCAUCUGGCUCCCCAUUAAAUGUCCAGUCUAGAAGAGUGUUUCCACAACAUGGAAAACCUUCUGUAGAACUAGGUAUUCUUGUGUACUUGAUACUCUUGUAGUGCAGAAGCUGUUAUGGAACUUGGUUUUUGGCAAAUUACAUUAGAGGAUAAUCUUAAUUUAUUUGAUUACAUUUGCCAUUGUGGGCCAAGCAUGAGCAAUUUAGAGGAUUAAACUGGAGCUGCACAGAAAUGUGAGAAGUCUAUUUAGGGCUCUCAAAAUUUGAUUCUUUUGAUAAGAGAGUGCCUUGUGCCAAAUGAACAUUGGAGUGGCCUUCUGAUUACUUUCAAAUAUACACUGUAAUUUCAUUAUGGUGACCUUGAAUGCAGAGUUGUAUCAGUUCCUUACAGGCUGACUCAUCUCUGCUUCACUCUGUUACUCCAUAAAGGGUCAAAUCUCACACUUCUUACUUGUUCAUCCCCUACACAGAAUUCCCAUGGACAUCUAAGCCACAUAUGGCUUUGAGUCACAACUGAUUUUGGGCAAUACCUUCAUGGAGUAUUGAAGUAAGUGACUGACAUGGCCAAAAUAAAAGAUGCAAUGGCCCUAAGUUCAUGAUUUUGGAUUGACCUCUGGAUACAGUAGCCUGGAGGGCAACGCUAUUUUGGAAGAUUCCUCUUCCAUUGCCCAGAGUGAGAAGAGAGUACAGCUGCUGUUUCAGGCACUCUACGGUCCACCUGUUUGGCUGCAAACUAUAUGACAUUGUUGGUGCACUGAGCACCAUGACUGUAGCACAUUUCUGAGCACCAGAGAAGGCAUUUAAGCAUUUCUCUUAUGCCUAUGAGCCAUGACUUAAUCGUGAGUCACAUCCUGAAGUUUUGUAUUAUCAGAAAAAUGCCAUUGUGUGUGCCAUUUAUAAAUGAAUCUGCAGUUUGCUGUGAGCACAUAAAUUAUGCAGUAAUAUGCUAUGCAGUUUGAGCAACAGUAACUUUUUCCUUCCCUUUUUUUUCUUAAUUAAAUUGGAAACGUACUUUAUUACAUGUUUAGAAAAUAAAUAUAAACAGAAGGGGGAGAGCGGCUACAGAGUUGUAAUCCAUUACCUCUAUGUAAAUAAAUUUGAAGCAACUAUAUAGAACAUCUUAGACAAUGAGGAUGUAACAGGCAGAGGACCACUUAUCAUCUAUAGGCUAUGAGGGAAGGAUCACAGUUUAAAAAGGAUUUAUCUCUGAGAAGAUUUGAUAAGCCAAUCACACUAGAGCUGGGGUCAUCACCCUCUUUUCCACCUAAAUGUGAGUUUAACUGAGACUUAACACUUCCUGCACCUUGUUACUAGUAUGAGAGGAUGUCACACAGAGAUGUCCAGAGCUCUCGUAAUGUCCCUAGAGCAAUCAGUGACUUCUUCAGGGGUUUCCACAUUUUGGUAAGAGUGGAGGGAUAGUCAGUGCUUAAACACUCAAAUCAAUGCCAUGGUCUCUUUUUCUACCAUGCAGUCUAUACCUGCUCAUAUGAUCUGCCUGAGUUCCUUAGGAAGGGCCUGUAAAGGAAGCCAGAGGGUUGACAUUUGCUUGCAAAGAGCUGCCAUGGUGGGUGUUACUAUGAGGCAGCACAUCUGUGCUGUGGAAGUCGUGUACAUCACAGUAGUUGCUUUACUUGAUUCUUUGGGUGUGGAUGAUACAAGUUACACUGGGGAGUGGCUAUCACUUUGCAUUAGGAAAAAGUAAACAAUUUACUUGAUUUUUCUAAUCAUCCUAGGCAACUAUUUUUUUUAAGACUGUGAUCUUUUUAGUAUGCCACCCUCUGGUCAUUUUUCUACUUUCAGAGAGCAAAUUUCAAAGAAAGAAUCUGAUCCAUCUUGUCCUGAGUCUGCCAGAAUGCUUUAGAUGGCUACACUAUCUGAUGUUUACAGGGCCAGAUCGAACCAUUGAUUUUUUACACGAAACUUCCCACUACCCUGAACAAAUUGUACUGAGGAAAAGCUAAUGGCAUAACUAUGGCCCUUACAGAUAAACAAGACCUGGUUCAUCUGGUGUUCUGUUUUGUUUUGCAAUCUCUGAUUAAAACAUUUCUCUGUUAGUAUGUAUUUCUUUCUUUAACUUGCUUUCAACCUUUUUGUAGUAAAGCGGUUGAGAGAAGAAUGUCUCAGCUAUAUAGCAUUCAGCAAAUGUGUUAUUGCUGUUCUCAUCUAUGACAGAUUAAUAAAUGAAAAAUUACUUAAUGAAUUUUUUUUCUGUGUCAGCUCAAACUUCUGACACUUGCAAUUGCUACAACACCUUUGAGGUAGAAACUCAUGCUGGAAAUGGAGUUGCUUCAGAGCAAGAUCAUAAACAGCAGCUCCCACAUCUCUGUAAAAAUGGGUCUUAAUCACAGGUGAUUUCUAAAAGUUAAGCAAGGGAGAUGAGGUUGGCUGACCAAAUCCUAUGCUUGAUGUUCAAAUGGAGUUCCCACAAUUCCCACUCAUAUAUGUAAAAAUACAAUCUCUAGGAGAAAUGGAGGAACCUAUGCUUUAUGUUUAGAACAUCUAGUGAUCCUAGCAACUCCAGAUUAUAAAUUUUAUCUCCUGCUAUGUAGGGUAAUGAGUGGCUUAACCCUCUUUCCCACACACAACCUGGCAAUUUUCUAUCAGUAUCUGAACAUACGUGUGAUAGUAACAUAAGACUACUGAAGACCAGAUCUAUCAUGUGUUGCAGAGACAAGACUGUGUAAAAUAAUGAUCUUAGAAAUAUGUAAGCCCAAGCCCCACUUUUCACUCCAAAUACAAAUCUAUAAUAAAUGCCAGGAGAGCAGAAAUAUAAAACUGAGAAACUAUUACUUAUUUACUUUAAUUAUAGGAUUUCAAAAUAGAGAUUUACAGACCAUGAAUGAACCAUUCUUUCUCUUGAAAGAGAGAAAGCUUGCAAUGUGUUCUUUGCUUUCCAAGCAACUUAUUACAAGAACAUAUGGUACUUUGACACUUCAUUCAACUAGAAAGAGGUUGAACUCUGCUCCCUUAAGGUUUUGCUGCAGAUAUUCCAAAUUUUGCACCCACAAAAUGAUAGAUGCCCUCAAUUAUGGUCAGGGAAUGUUUUCUUAGUAAUCUAUAAAUGGUUUUAUUACUAUGUGUGCUACUCGGAGUCCUUUUCACUUUUUAAUCAGAAGUAUUUCCUUCUGUUUGCCAGUAUUCCAGUAAUUUUUACGUUCCAUCUUCAUUCUAACCUCCCUGCUAUUCACUGCAAGAAUCAUCCAUUUCACUAUUUUAUUUGCUUAAAACAUUUCUAUAACUUUUCAUAUUUUUCCUCAGGUCCUUUGUGAAUAUUUAUGCAAAACUUGGUCAGGGAGGAAAGAAAAUGUUUUGCACACUUUCAGCUCAGGGAAGAGGGUUUUGAUGGACUAGCUGAUUUCUUUUGAUGGUGAAUAGUAGCAUACUGUGAUUCUGCUGUAUAGUGUACAGUAUAUUCUUCUAGCAGAAAAAAACUGCCUCACGAUUUAUCUCUUUGUGGCACCGAACAUCUGCUGAAGUUUCUUUUGAUCCCUCUAUUCCUCUUUUUGCAAGUCCAUCAGAGAAGCAGCUUGCUUGUUUUAUAAGUUUGGAGUGUGUUUUCUCCCUUCAGGAAAGAACCAUGUGUUUCUGCAUCAACAUGCCUCAAUCAUUGCCAUGUUUGUAGUUUUACUUUCAGGAUAAUCCAACAGAUGCUGACUUGCCCCAUGGACAAAUAUGGAGGGUGGCAGACUGAAAGAGGAUUUUUUCAAGGGCUGAUCACUUUUGGGCUGCCCUUCAGCGGUCAGCAUGUUUAGCUCUGUGAGUCUGGGCGCGAAAGGUGGCAGUCACUUGUUGCUUUUGGAGCUGAUCCGUUCGAUCUGGCCAACUGCUUUUCAAGUUUUCUGUGUACUACUUGAACACAACAGUAAGAAUGACAGCUUAGCUGACUGAAUUUGUCUGUAUAUUUUUCCUGCUUUAAACUUGGGAAAGUCUCAUGAGGAGCUCUGCCUGGGACCAGAAACAUUAAAAUUGUCCUGCUUGAGCAAUCAACUUUGAAACUUUGAACUUAGUACACACUUUAUAAACAUACAUUUGGAAAAUUACAAUUAAGAGUCAAGUAUCUGAGGAAUUUCAUCUUGUAUCUACUGCACUAUCUGGAAAGUUUCCAUUAUGUUUAAAGAAGAUGGAAUUGAGCUGCUGAUUUGAAACUGGCAUUUUCUCACUUAGAGAAAGAAUAGGAAGAUGUAGCUUGUGAAGACAAAAAGCUAGUUCUGAAUGAGGGACUGUUGUAGAGGAGUUAUGUGUGGGGGGUGGAGGGACUGAAAAUUUAAAAGGUUCUGAUGUCAUAAGUAUCUGAAUGGGAGGGUCUGUACGAAGCAUAAACAAAAGGGUGUGCUCUAUUCUUUGUUGAUCCUCUCUCAUGUGCACUGAGCAUCAAAAUGCUGGUUUGGAUUACAGAUAGAUGUCAGUCUUUCUUCCUGCAAAUCUUCUCUGUAAAUGUGCUUUGUCUUAUUGAAUGAAAACUCAGCAGUGAUAGAAAAAGACCCUCAGUAGCCUGCAAGGUGAAUGUCACGGUUAAUCCAUUUUAUUUCAGAGGCUGUUGCCAAAUUACAGAGUUUUGCAAAUGAGUUCUAUUGCAAUUUGGGCUCAAGAUAAAAAUGUCUGGCAACAAUAACUGGAAAAGACGUUCUUAAUGAGGAAAGAAGAAACGUCAGUAGAGUUACUUCUAUAUUUCUUCUUUCACUAAGAUCCAGAACCUUUAUCUCACAGGAGAUUACAUGUAUACUGUGAAUAAAUUAAAGGCAUUCUUUGUAACUAUAUCAAUCAGCUGGGAGAAAAUAGAAAAUCAUUACUUGAAAAAUUUGCAGAUGACUUCAAGCUACUGGAUAAGGAAAUAAGGAGAGGUGACAAGCUAACUAACCAUACGGAGUAAGCUGGAUUAUUCUGUAAAGUGAGUUGAUCUGAGUUGUGAGCUUUUAAAGACAACUGAAUUGAAGACUGGAUUUUGAAACACAGAAUGUGGUUCCCGCUUUUGAGAUAGGAUACUGUUACACUGACAUCAAAAAGAUCUUAAAAAAAAGGUACACAACUAGCAGGAUGGGCACUUCCAUUGACAUGGUUAGCCAAAGAGCUAAUGUGACCUGGGGAGGUAUCAGCAAAGGCAUGGGUAGGAGGAGAGGCAGGGCCAUCUGUGUCACCGCUAGCAAGGCCAUCACUGGAGCACUUCAGCUCUGAGGUCCUAAUUUUGAGAAUUCUUCUGAAAAAAUUGAAAAAGUUUUGGAAGAGUCUAAGCUGUCAUCUGGAAAACAGGUAAAAACCUGACAAACAGGUAGAAACCUGAACCAAUUACUUCAAAGUAUUCAUGUUGCAGAUGUGAUUUCCUCAUUGCCUACAGACAUCUAGAUGUAAGAAAAGCUUCAGAAAACCAACAGCUCUUUAAUCCAACAACACAAAACUCAAGACUGGGAACAUAGCUAAGUGAACAAAGAUUUUAAACAAGUUGCAAAUAUUUUAAGUGGUGAAUAUGCCUAUCUCCUGAAGCAAUUCAAAAUGGAUGUGGUGUAUUCCCAUUGUGAGAAGUUUAAGAAACCUGGCUGGACAUGUUUCUGAAAUACUUCAUUCAGAUUCAGCCAAAAUUCAGGGAUAAUAUGGAGUACAUUAGGUGAAGUUCUAGUCCCAGGGUUUAGACUACAAGAUUAAUGGUCCCUUCUGGAUCAAGGACUGAUGAGGCUUUAAAACUGUCCUUUGUUAAUGAAGAGGGAUACUCUCAGCAUCAUUGAGUGUGCUAAAAAUGGUAUAGUAUGUCAGUAUUAUUAGACCUUUUAGCCAAGGAAUCUGAACAGUUUCAGAUGCGUGAGUUGAGAUAGAAUCCUCUGCCCUUUUUUAGUCUCAGUCACCCCUCUAUCUAAUUUGGAUGGUGAGAGGGGCCAUAGGCAUUUUCUGAUAGAAACUCCCCAUGGCGGAGCAGAAUGACAGCAGGACUUUGUCCAUCUCCAUCAGUGACCUAAAGCAUGGCAGCUGAUGCAUCCCCAUUAGCUAUCCCUCUCACCCACCCAUACAUUUCCCUUCUUGUUCACCAGCUCUGCUCUGAUGGAUUCACAAGGAAAAGGAAGAUUGCUGCCACAAGGCUGGGAAGGGGCAAAGAGGCAAACUGUAGUGAAAAUACUGUGCAGAGAGCUGAGUUCAGCUCUCUUGAGAGGGAAUGGGGGGAGGCUUAGGUGGAAGCACAAGAGAACCAGGCAGCCAAGGACUAGUCUGUGCAACACUCCUGAAGCUAGUAUGCAAAACAGCUUGUUUAGCACCUCAUAACUCUGUUAUUAUUCAGUAAUUGUAAUGGGGUGACAAGACCUAACAAAAGGAGUUGGAACAUUCCUAAAACUUAACAAUACAAGCAGGUAGAUGUAUGCAUAUAAAACAGUCUUCCUGGAAGGAGGAAGACCUUUAAUUCAGGUUGGAAUGAGUUGUGGUGCUUUCAGGAAGAACCUGCUUGGAUGCAGCACUCAGAGCUUCUCUGCUGGGCUGGUGUGCAGCCUGCUAACCUGAUUCAAAGUCUUAGCUCACAUCUUGCCCGGCUGAGAAGACCUGAACCAGGCUAGGGAUAUAGGAUUUCAGCUAUGGGAACAGCUUUACCAGAAUUAAUGGGCAAGGAUUGCAAGGAGACUGACAAUAGUGCCAAGCUUAUUUGAGUUCAGAAAAUGAUAUUCCAUUCUGAUUGCACCUACUAGCAGAGUUACAGGAACUUCUUGUUCCUGGCAUUGAAUUUCAUCUCAGAAUGAAAGCCAGUGUCCUUUGCUCGUGAGUGAGGAGGGUUGCCUUCAUACUAUGCAGUUACCUUGCCAGGGCUCUUCCCUAAGUUUUAUAAACUUAAAUAAACACAUGGAAAGCUUUUCUGAACACGGUCAAAGAACUGUAAACAUCAAAACUUACUCAAGAUUUUAAUUAAUCUCAAUGUCGAGUCUGGAUUCCUUGAUUCAAAGAGCCUCCUACUAAAGCAGAAUGUAACAAUUAUGUGCAUACCCAGAAACAAAUUAUAUUCACCUUGUAAUUUGAUUUUGAUUUUAUGUUUUGCAGUUAUCUCCUUUGGCUCUGAGUCAUUACUUGUAGUGGAAAUACUGAUACCUGUAAUGGCUCAUAAUACCAUAUGGAAACUUUCCACUCUUCCCUGUACCUCUCUCACCAGGACUCGUUCACUUGUCAUCUUUUAGCAGCAGAAAAACCUUAGACUGCAUAGGACCACAGGACACUAGUGUACACCUGAAAAAUGUUGGAAAACCUUCUUCUCAUAUAAGUAAUGGUGAUUCUUAGCCAGACUGAACCUCAUACAUGUGCAGCAUCUGAAAGGAUGAAAGACUUCUGGACACUGAGGCUUACCAAGAGUGUUUUUCUGAUGUCCUUAGAGGUUUUGUGUUACUUAUUCCACACUCUUUGUGAAUUCCUCCUCUGACUUCUACACAUUUAAUGUAGAUUGUUUGCAGGAAUAACUCUAGGGAUCUUGUUGGAGCUGGAUAUAUAUAUAUUUUCUUUUUCCUCUGCAAUCUGAAAACCUGAAAGAAUAGAUAACUCUCCCUAGUACUUUCUUGCAAAACAAAUAAGGGGAAAAGAAACUGAUUUCAUUGAAAAGCCCCAAACCUGCUUUUAAAAAAGGUCUUGGUACAAAUUAAGCCACAGCCAUUCUGCCACCUCUGUAGGCAGCACCAACUUUAAAAAUUCACCAAACUGCAACAAAUGACAACUAAGCACUGCUUCGUUCCAAAUUUAGAGAAGCUACCUUCCUUCACAUUCAAAUUUUAGAUACAUAGUUGAUGCUUACUGUGUUGAUUUUAAUGUGUGUCACUCUUCAGUGUCAAAGGUAACUAGACUACAGUAAAGGCUGGCGCUAUUUAUCAGCAACUUGCUAAGAAACAGAAAAUAAAACCUGUCUCUAAAUUUAUAUGAUCUCCAAAAAGGAAUGUUUUUUUCCAAGUUUGUUGCUGUGACUUCACAUGAAAUGUAGUCCUUUUGUGUUAUGUAGUUCUGUAAAAGCAAGGAAAAUACUGACUCCUGAAAACAUUCUAAUUAUACGUAUUAAUAUUUAAAAUUCUAUUUAUGCCCUUGACACUUAGGAGCACUAUGUGAAGCUAUAUUCAUAAAAGUAUUUCUGACUCAUUGGCAAGAAAGACUAUUGUGGUACAGCAUACUUUUUUUGCUGAGUAGAGGCAGAUUGAGAAUGCAUUUAGAUCCUGAAAAUCCUGUUCCACUACCUAGUAAUCUGCCGUGGCUGCUGUGCUGCCUGUCAAUUCUUCACAUCUUCAUUACUGCCCAGGCUCAUCAGGACAGAGACUUCAGAGGUGACCAGCUGGGAGAUGGAAAAGAGUCAUUAUUCUGCCUGUUUUCCUCCAAAGGGCUUUAUCUAAUAAGCUUUUUUAUCAAACUCAUAGUAUGUUCCCAAAGAUAUUUUGCAAAAUGCAACCAUGAGUACAUUUUUUUUUUUUGUAACAUACAAGAAGUGGCUAUGGUGUCCCUUUUUAAUUAACUUUGGUUUGGUUCAUCAGGAGCUGAAGGUUUUUUUAGUUCGUUUGCUUGAUUUUUUUUUUACAUGUCAAUAGAUUCAAUAGAUACCAUUUUUACUUUGCAGUUCAGAAGGAACUGUCUGACUUAACAGCAGGAGGAGAGAGUAAAUCAUUGGACUAUAAAAGCAUCUUUGAAAGAGGUCAAAAGGCCCAAAGGGGAAAAUAGCAAACCUUUGACUCUGUGCAUCAAAAGAUUAUACCUUGAUGAAGUAAAGAUCUGGGGAAACACACAGGGGCAGCAGGGCCUUAGAUGGGGGAGUUGGAAAUGCUGAAGGAUUAAAAAGAGAAACUGGAAAGGCAGAAAGGGAGAGAGCAAGGGGAUGGCUGAUCCCUGACAGAUAGACUGAUGGUGCAGAUUUCCUUUUGAAAAGACUUUUUCAAUUGCCAAGGCUGUAGCAAACAUCUUUUUUUUUUUUUUUUAUCCUCUAGGUACUUUACUCUAGAAGUCUUAUUUAACACCAUAAUCACAUAAUUUUGUGCUCAGUUAGCUUUAUAAGCCUCACUGGAACAUCAUGAGCAUCCUUUCCAUGGAACCCUGCUUUUCUCUUGCUCUUAAUUUAAUGCUUAUGAAGAGCACAUAAAUUUGUAUUGAUCUUUUUUUUUUCUUGCAGGCUUCAACCACAUUUUAGUAUAUGAAACAGAUGGGAGUCUUUAACUCAUUAGAGGGAACCAUUUUAAUACUGAUCCCAUCAAUCUGUACUAUUUUUACCUUGGAGACAGAUGUUUUUCUGUAAAGGGUGUAGUUAUAUGCAUCUGUGGUUGUGUGUGUACCUAGACGGCAAGUUCUGAAGUUACUGAGGCAGAACAGAAGGAAACAGGAACGUUGCAGUGUAGAUGAAGAGGGGACCUUUUUGGCAUGCUACCAAGCAGAAAGCAUAAGUAGAGUGAAUUUAUAACUGUAGUGCAGUUACUUAAGGAAAAACCAAGCAUGCCUUGGUAUGGUUCAGACCUGUUCACAUUUAAAAAACCCCCACUAACUGCAUACACCAACCCCUUUAAAUUUAAUCAGAGUAGUUUUGUGUUUUCUACUCUACUGCUCCUCUGAAACUGUAGCACCUGGAUAGCUUAAAGGACUGAUUUGACUCAGCAAAGCAAAAAAAUAUGUGCUUCUGUGAUUAACAGUUUCCUUUCAUCAGGUUUGCUUUCUCUUUCUUUUUUUGUUUUUCAUUGUUGAGUCUAGAUUUUUGGAAGGUUAGUGUGUGAACUGUUAUGGAAAGCUUCACUUGAAAGGUUACCAUGCAUAAUGCACAAAUAAAUCACAAAAGAGUGAGACAUGGAGAAAAAUAUGAUAUUCAUUUAUUAAACAAAUCAAGUUUCUGCAAUGACAGUAGCUUCAUUGUAGUAAUUAGCCCAGUGUAAGAUAUAGAAAUAUUCAUUCCAAGUUAAUUUGGGAAAUUUCCUGAAAGAUGGCUGAAAUAUGGGGCAACUACAUAUAGCGAGCAAAAGAGUUACUGGAUUUUACAAUUUUAUUUCAAUUUAAGACCGUGGUCUUCAAAACACUGAAAACACAUUCUAUGACUGCUUGUUUGAGCAGCAAGUAAAACUUGAAUUGAGGUGAUUUCAACCUUGUUUUUAAAGAUAGAUUGCUUAUACAGAGUGCAAAGUAGUAGUAUAAGAUUGGUAAACCAAGACAUGUAAUUUUAAAUGUUCAUAUAGUAUAGAAUUUUUUAAUUGUCUUCUUAACAGUAUCUUACAAAUGAGAAAUCCCAAACUUCCCCCCAGGUAGAUUUUGAGGUCUGAUAUCAGAGGUUGAAUAUUUGUAUAUGUGACUAUACAUAUUAUUCUGUCACAGGUUGCCUUUCAGCAAUGAGGCUUUUACGAUUUUAGAUGCAUAUAGCCUUGCUUAUAGUCUGCAUAAUACCUUGACAAUUAUAACAUCUUAACUAAUAAGAUUUUUUUUUUUAGAAAACAGUGUCUGAUUAUAGCUUUAAAGAUUUACUUAAUUUAGAAAUUAAACUGAGCCCCAGAUUCUGGGAUAUAUUAAGGUCCAAGAACCUGAUGAACUGCUGCAGUCAGCUACAUGCAAAUUAUGCCUAGAAGCAGAGCUUUUGCCUUCACUUCCCAGACAGCACAAAGUUAAUGAGCCAAACACAUGAAGUCCUUUUACACAACCAAAACAGAGGGAAAGGAAAAUUUUGGACUGGCAGUCGUUCAGAAAUAUUGAGACUGCUUGUAAAUAUGACCGAAAAAAGACCAAAAUCCAGAGGCUAUGAACAAAAGAGUAUUUGUUAUCAGUGGGAGGACUUUAUGGUGGAACCAUGUUUAGAGUGGCAUUUGUGAAAGGCAGUGUGAUUUUGAUUUAAGUUGCCAUCUAUCAGUUCAUCUGACUAAAGUUUCAUGUAACAACUCAAGCUACUUUGAAGGAAACACAAAAGAAUAUGAGAAGUUGCUGAAAUUAGUUUAACUGGGUUAGAAAUUUUAUAGUUUAUAUUACUUUAUUUUUUAACAUUAUUUUAAUUUUUUACAUUAUUUCGAUUUUUCAUUAUAUUUUUUUAUGUUUCCAUGUAUAUCUGCUCUGGGACUGUAUCCUCUCAGAGAUCCAAGAGCCCCACCUGGAUUGCUCUGCAGAAUGAGAACAGCGUGUCUUUCUCACUUAUUUUGGCAUGUUUGGGAGAUGUGCAAGAGCAGAGCAGCAGAUUACUUUUUUCUCAAGGGCUGUUUUAUUGAACAGAAUAACUCUUUACAGAUCUACUGUCUCCCUGUUUUUCUGAUACAGAGCCUCCCAGCUAUCAGCUGGCCAAGGCCAGGACUUCUUACCAAAAGUAUGUGAAAAAGUGUCCUUCGAAGUCUUCAAUAGAAAGUAACACUCCAAAGGAUAAGAAGAAACCCCAAGACACCAGUUUCAUGAAAAAUGUCAAAAAGAAGGGCAUGUGAAGAAAAACAGUUUGUCAAAUCUACUACAAAGGCAGAUCUAAGCAAAGGGAACCUCAAAGAUGGGAUAUCUCUGAGAUCUACAAAAAGAAAAUGACUGUGUCACAGAAGAAGAGGAGUAUAUGUAUCUCUCUUUAGAAUACAGAAGUUGUCUUUACCAGUUUUGAAUUUCCCAAAUGAGGAAUCCAAAUAUUUAGUGGAGAGCUUAUGGAUGAAGAAUAAGAUAAGUCUGUAUUUGGACUUCAGUGGCAAUGGGGACUGUGUGGAAAGACAAAAAUUGUUUUAGUAAGCUUGGUCGUCAGCUGAUGAGUAUCCAAGAAAGAAGGACCAUAGAAACACAGUCAUGUUAUCUGUUUUUGAAUGUAAUCUUUUCACAUUAGGGUUGUGGACAGCUCUCUGUGAAGUGGGAAGUAGUUUAUUGCUGGUGGUGUUGUCCAGGCUGUCCAUGGUCCCGGGAUAAACAACUCUGUUGCCAAGGUUGUCGGUUUGUUACCUGUCACAAGCAAUAGAUUACACUCGUUUGUUAA